RNAcentral lists this unclassified non-coding RNA (148 nucleotides) under soil metagenome. RNAcentral's name for it is "partial internal transcribed spacer 1". The record is from RNAcentral.
AAGAGUUGCAAAACUCCCACAAACCAUCGCGAACGUUACCCAGACGUAGUUGCUUCGGCGCGCCGCUCCGGUCACCGGGCCGCCGGAGUGGCCGUAUACAGACUCUUGAGUUAACCAGUUACAUCUGAGUACGAUCUUAAUAAGUCAA